GAUGAAUGCUGGCGGCGUGCCUAACACAUGCAAGUCGAGCGGCAGCGCAGUCUUCGGACUGGCGGCGAGCGGCGGACGGCUGAGUAACGCGUGGGAACGUACCCAAAGUGAGGAAUAACCGCCCGAAAGGGUGGCUAAUACCGCAUAUGGUCUUCGGAUUAAAGGAUUUAUCCGCUUUGGGAACGGCCUGCGUACGAUUAGAUUGUUGGUGGGGUAAAGGCCUACCAAGUCGACGAUCGUUAACUGGUCUGAGAGGAUGAUCAGUCAGACUGGAACUGAGACACGGUCCAGACUCCUACGGGUGGCUG
This 308-nucleotide ribosomal RNA is filed under the name uncultured Candidatus Saccharibacteria bacterium. Its description in RNAcentral is "bacterial SSU rRNA". It matches the Rfam family "Bacterial small subunit ribosomal RNA", at positions 28 to 351 of the family's 1533-position model. The record is from RNAcentral. Lineage: Bacteria; Candidatus Saccharimonadota.